AUGACGAUUAACAAGGCUCAAGGCCAGACGAUUCCGAUUGUUGGCGUGUACCUACCUAAUCCGGUGUUCUCUCAUGGUCAACUCUAUGUUGCAUUGUCUCGAGCCACCACAAAGAGAAAUAUAAAGAUCCUCAUUGAGAAGGAGAAGGAGAAGGAGAAUGCCAAGAAGCAAAGCGGUAAAUCUAAGAAGCGAAAAAGACCUGCCCUGUCCUUACAGACCUCGAUGAAGAACAUCAUCUAUAAGUAA
RNAcentral lists this ribosomal RNA (246 nucleotides) under Triticum aestivum (bread wheat). Its description in RNAcentral is "partial small subunit ribosomal RNA". The record is from RNAcentral. Lineage: Eukaryota; Viridiplantae; Streptophyta; Magnoliopsida; Poales; Poaceae.